AAUAAUCUGCCACCGGGUAGAGAGAUGCUCAGGCAUCCGUUUGCACAUCGUCAGGUCACAGAAGAUGUGUAUGCGGAUGCCUGUUUUUA
Molecule: non-coding RNA, 89 nt
Filed under: unclassified sequences
Source: RNAcentral